GAUGAACGCUGGCGGCGUGCCUAAUACAUGCAAGUCGAGCGGACGGACGAGGAGCUUGCUGCUCUGAUGUUAGCGGCGGACGGGUGAGUAACGCGUGGAUAACCUACCUAUAAGACUGGGAUAACUACGAGAAACCGUAUCUAAUACCGGAUAAUCUUUUGAACCGCAGGGUGCGAAGGUGAAAGACGGUCUUUGUGUCAGUUAUCGAUGGUUCCGAGCUUGAUUAGCUAGUUGGUAAGGUAACGGCUUACCAAGGGUAGCAUGCGUGGCCGAGCUGUGUGGGUGAUCGGCCACACUGGAAGUGAGACACGGUCCAGACGACUGCGGGAGGCAGCAGUAGGGUAUCUUCCGCAAUGGGGGAAAGUAUGGCGGAGCGACGCCGCGUGAGAUGUGAAGGUCCUCCGUGCGUAAAACUGUGUUAUGGGUGAAGAACAGAUGUCGAAGUAGCUGUGCAGAUCUUGACGGUACCUAAUCAGAAAGCCACGGCUAACUACGUG
This 497-nucleotide ribosomal RNA is filed under the name uncultured bacterium. RNAcentral's name for it is "partial 16S ribosomal RNA". It matches the Rfam family "Bacterial small subunit ribosomal RNA", at positions 28 to 507 of the family's 1533-position model. The record is from RNAcentral.